CAGCCGCCACGGGAAUACGAAGGGGGCUAGCGUUGUUCGGAAUUACUGGGCGUAAAGCGUACGUAGGCGGAUUGUUAAGUGAGGGGUGAAAUCCCGAGGCUCAACCUCGGAACUGCCUUUCAUACUGGCAAUCUUGAGUCCGGGAGAGGUGAGUGGAACUCCUAGUGUAGAGGUGAAAUUCGUAGAUAUUAGGAAGAACACCAGUGGCGAAGGCGGCUCACUGGCCCGGAACUGACGCUGAGGUACGAAAGCGUGGGGAGCAAACAGGAUUAGAUACCCCUGUAGUCCCUGUCUCUUAUAC
Molecule: ribosomal RNA, 301 nt
Filed under: uncultured bacterium
Lineage: Bacteria
Description: partial 16S ribosomal RNA
Rfam family: Bacterial small subunit ribosomal RNA
Source: RNAcentral